This 496-nucleotide ribosomal RNA is filed under the name uncultured bacterium. RNAcentral's name for it is "partial 16S ribosomal RNA". It matches the Rfam family "Bacterial small subunit ribosomal RNA", at positions 28 to 506 of the family's 1533-position model. The record is from RNAcentral.
GAUGAACGCUGGCGGCGUGCCUAAUACAUGCAAGUCGAGCGAACAGACGAGGAGCUUGCUCCUCUGACGUUAGCGGCGGACGGGUGAGUAACACGUGGAUAACCUACCUAUAAGACUGGGAUAACUUCGGGAAACCGGAGCUAAUACCGGAUAAUAUAUUGAACCGCAUGGUUCAAUAGUGAAAGACGGUUUUGCUGUCACUUAUAGAUGGAUCCGCGCUGCAUUAGCUAGUUGGUAAGGUAACGGCUUACCAAGGCGACGAUGCGUAGCCGACCUGAGAGGGUGAUCGGCCACACUGGAACUGAGACACGGUCCAGACUCCUACGGGAGGCAGCAGUAGGGAAUCUUCCGCAGUGGGCGAAAGCCUGACGGAGCAACGCCGCGUGAGUGAUGAAGGGCUUCGGAUCGUAAAACGCUGUUAUUAGGGAAGAACAAAUGUGUAAGUAACUAUGCACGUCUUGACGGUACCUAAUCAGAAAGCCACGGCUAACUACGU